Molecule: ribosomal RNA, 305 nt
Filed under: uncultured bacterium
Lineage: Bacteria
Description: bacterial SSU rRNA
Rfam family: Bacterial small subunit ribosomal RNA
Source: RNAcentral
UUUCCUACGGGACGCAGCAGUGAGGAAUAUUGGUCAAUGGUCGGGAGACUGAACCAGCCAAGCCGCGUGAGGGAUGAAGGUACAGAGUAUCGUAAACCUCUUUUGUCAGGGAACAAAGGCGGGGACGUGUCCCCGGAUGAGUGUACCUGAAGAAAAAGCAUCGGCUAACUCCGUGCCAGCAGCCGCGGUAAUACGGAGGAUGCGAGCGUUAUCCGGAUUUAUUGGGUUUAAAGGGUGCGCAGGCGGAAGAUCAAGUCAGCGGUAAAAUUGAGAGGCUCAACCUCUUCGAGCCGUUGAAACUGGUU